Molecule: ribosomal RNA, 440 nt
Filed under: uncultured bacterium
Lineage: Bacteria
Description: partial 16S ribosomal RNA
Rfam family: Bacterial small subunit ribosomal RNA
Source: RNAcentral
CCUACGGGAGGCAGCAGUGGGGAAUAUUGGGCAAUGGGGGCAACCCUGACCCAGCAACGCCGCGUGAGUGAAGAAGGCUUUCGGGUUGUAAACCUCUUUCCUCAGGGACGAAGCUGGUGAUGGCGUCUAAAGAAGAACCCGCGACCUACGUGCCAGCAGCCGCGGUAAUACGAAGGGGGCGAGCGUUGUUCGGCUUUACUGGGUGUAAAGGAAGUGUAGGCGGCAAUGAAAGAUAGCUGUGAAAGGCAUGGGCUCAACCCCUGGCCUGCCUUUGAUACUUUUUUUCUUGAGUACUGGAGAGGAAAACGGAAUUCCUAGUGUAGCGGUGAAAUGCGUAGAUAUUAGGAGGAACACCAGUGGCGAAGGCGGUUUGCUGGACAGUAACUGACGCUGAGGCGCGAAAGCGUGGGGAGCAAACAGGAUUAGAUACCCUAGUAGUC